Molecule: long non-coding RNA, 318 nt
Organism: Stylophora pistillata
Lineage: Eukaryota; Metazoa; Cnidaria; Anthozoa; Scleractinia; Pocilloporidae
Source: RefSeq, a predicted model, not a curated record
UUUAAGCAUCUACAAACCCUCCCUGGACGGCAGAACCUGAAAGCGGAAAAGAAACCGAAUGGAUUAUUGUUGGUGCAGUGUUGGGAUCAGCUUUGGCUUUGGUUGUUGCUGCUGGCAUCGUAGCUUGGUUUGUACAUAAGAGAAGAAAGGGUUCAAAAGGGAGCAGUGACGUGCAGAAAUUCCCUUUGGGUGUGCAGUGCAAGAUGCGAUGUAAACAAAAUGUUCUUAUCGAGAUCCCGGACGAGAGCCCGCGGCAGACGUCAUCACUCUACUGUACAGGGAUAAAAACAAGACAAAGGAAGUGCCAGGAGCCGGUAC